UACGUAGGGCGCAAGCGUUGUCCGGAAUUAUUGGGCGUAAAGAGCUCGUAGGCGGUUUGUCGCGUCUGCUGUGAAAACCUAAGGCUCAACCUUGGGCCUGCAGCCGAUACGGGCAAGCUAGAAUUCGGUAGGGGAGACUGGAAUUCCUGGUGUAGCGGUGAAAUGCGCAGAUAUCAGGAGGAAUACCGGUGGCGAAGGCGGCAUCCUGGACCGACAUUGACGCUGAACGGCGAAAGCUAGGGGAGCAAACGGG
RNAcentral lists this ribosomal RNA (253 nucleotides) under uncultured bacterium. RNAcentral's name for it is "partial 16S ribosomal RNA". It matches the Rfam family "Bacterial small subunit ribosomal RNA", at positions 524 to 776 of the family's 1533-position model. The record is from RNAcentral.